ACGGAAGGCAGCAGUGGGGAAUAUUGCACAAUGGGCGAAAGCCUGAUGCAGCGACGCCGCGUGAGCGAUGAAGUAUUUCGGUAUGUAAAGCUCUAUCAGCAGGGAAGAUAAUGACGGUACCUGACUAAGAAGCACCGGCUAAAUACGUGCCAGCAGCCGCGGUAAUACGUAUGGUGCAAGCGUUAUCCGGAUUUACUGGGUGUAAAGGGUGCGUAGGUGGUAUGGCAAGUCAGAAGUGAAAACUAUGGGCUCAACCCAUAGACUGCUUUUGAAACUGUCAAACUAGAGUACAGGAGAGGAAAGAAGAGUUCCUAGUGUAGCGGUGAAAUGCGUAGAUAUUAGGAGGAAUACCAGUGGCGAAGGCGUCUUUCUGGACUGUUACUGACACUGAGGCACGAAAGCGUGGGGAGCAAACAGGAUUAGAUACCCUGGUA
Molecule: ribosomal RNA, 434 nt
Filed under: uncultured Lachnospiraceae bacterium
Lineage: Bacteria; Bacillati; Bacillota; Clostridia; Lachnospirales; Lachnospiraceae
Description: partial 16S ribosomal RNA
Rfam family: Bacterial small subunit ribosomal RNA
Source: RNAcentral